UAGAAGUUUUUAUUCCUGCCCUGGUUCCAG
RNAcentral lists this non-coding RNA (30 nucleotides) under Rattus norvegicus (Norway rat). The record is from RNAcentral. Lineage: Eukaryota; Metazoa; Chordata; Mammalia; Rodentia; Muridae.